UACGGAGGGCGCGAGCGUUAAUCGGAAUCACUGGGCGUAAAGCGCGCGUAGGCGGCUUUUCAAGUCAGGGGUGAAAUCCCACGGCCCAACCGUGGAACUGCCUUUGAAACUGUAGAGCUUGAGUGUCGGAGAGGGUGGCGGAAUUCCAGGUGUAGGAGUGAAAUCCGUAGAUAUCUGGAGGAACACCGGUGGCGAAGGCGGCCACCUGGACGACAACUGACGCUGAGGUGCGAAAGCGUGGGUAGCAAACAGG
RNAcentral lists this ribosomal RNA (253 nucleotides) under uncultured bacterium. RNAcentral describes it as "partial 16S ribosomal RNA". It matches the Rfam family "Bacterial small subunit ribosomal RNA", at positions 524 to 776 of the family's 1533-position model. The record is from RNAcentral.